CCAGAAAGGCAAGAAAGGCGAGCAGGCUCCCCUGGAGAAAAACCAACAUGCUUAUUGCAAGCAGACUAGACACUGGAAAAAAGAAUGCCCAUUAAAGCCAGAGGAAAAACCAGAAAAGAAAAAUUAAGUCCUCACCCUCCCCGCAGCGGAGGAGUCUGAUGACUGACGAGACCGGGGCUCCUUCUCUCUUGGCCCCCAGCAGCCCACGGUGACCGCCACAGUGGAGGGCCAUGGUGACGUCCGGUAGCCUACUUGUCUUAAGAGGCUAGACCCUGUGGCCUCCACCAAGUAGCCAAGUUGUCUGUGAGCAGUAGCAGCAACAGCGAGCCUGGUCCAGGAAGCUGAUAAACUGACUCUGGGCCAAAAUUUAACCCUUACAGGUCCUCAUGCUGUAGACACUUUACUAUGAAGUGCCUCUGGCAAAUGGAUGUCAAAUGCCCGCAUCCUGCAGUAUCACAGUUUACUGUUAGAUCAGCCUCAUUUAACUUUCUCUCCCACAAGAUGCUUAAAUCCAGCUACCUUGCUCCCUGACCCAGACCUUACCACACCUGUCCAUGACUGCCAAGAACUGUUAGAGACUACGGAAACUGGCCGACCUGAUCUCCAAGACGUGCCUUUAAAGGAGGCGGAUGCCACUGUGUUUACAGACAGUAGCAGCUUCCUUGAGCAGGGAGUUCGAAAGGCUGGUGCUGCCAUCACUACGGAGACGAAUAUACUGUGGGCCCAAGCACUGCCAGCAGGUACCUCGGCACAGAGGGCUGAGUUGAUUGCCCUCUCUCAGGCCCUCCGAUAGGGUAACGACGAACGUAUUAAAAUUCACACUGACAGCAGGUAUGCUUUUGCUACUGUGCAUGUACAUGGAGCCAUCUACCAAGAGCAUGGGCUACUCAUCUCAGCAGGAAAGGCUAUCAAGAACAAAGAAGAAAUUUUGGCCCUGCUUGAAGCUGUUUGGCUCCCUCAACAGCUGGCUGUAAUUCACUGCAAAUGACAUCAAAAAGAAGACAUGGCCAUUGCCUGUGGUAACCAAAGAGCAGACUCUGCAGCCUGGGAGGCAGCUCAACUCCCAGUCACGCCUCUGACUCUGCUGCCUGCAGUGUCCUUUCCGCAACCUGACUUACCAGAUCACCCAGAAUACUCCCCAGAGGAGGAAAAAUAGGCUUUGGAUCUUCAGGCCAGUAAAAAUCAGGAAGAUUGGUGGAUUCUUCCUGAUUCCGGAAUCUUCAUACCCCAAGCUCUCGGGGAAACUUUAAUCAGUCGUCUGCAUUCUACCACCCAUUUAGAAGGAGGAAACCUGGCCCAGCUUCUAAGGAGCCGUUUCAAGAUCCCCCACCUUCAGGACUUAGCGAACCAAGCAGCUUGUGCCCAGGUGAACGCCAAGCAAGGUCCUAAACCCAGCUCAGGCCACCGCCUCCGGGGAGGCUCGCCAGGAGAAGGUACAAGACAUCAUCCAGCCGCUUGUCCGGGGAGCUCAUCCCAACCCAGUUCCUGACCAGACGGGGCUCUGCCACUCUUUCCAGCCGGGUGACCUGGUGUAUGUUAAAAAGUUCCAAAAGAAAAAAAAAAAGGACUCACUCCUGCCUGGAAAAGACCUCAUACUGUCAUCCUCACCACACUGACGGCUCUGAAAGUGGACAGCAUUCCUGCUCAAAUUCAUAACACCCCCUAGUACCAAAGCAUGUUUAACUGUAAUCCAUGACUAACUACUCUAAUUACUGGAUUGGCGGGACCCCUUUCUCCUCCUCUUGUUUAGUCUUCAAACCUCGUAAGUUAAAACUGGUUUCUUAACUUUAUAAAGCAACACAUAGCUUCUGUCAAACUUAUAUAUCUUAAAGUCCAAUAUAACCCUCUUGUAACAAGUGGGGAAUAUGAUAUGCUACCUUGUUUUAACCUGAAUUGAGUCUCCCUUAGCUGAGAGAGCCAGACAAACUCCAUUUUGGCUCCUUCACUUGCAGCUCCUUGCCCACCCAAUUCCUCAAGGACUUAACUUGUGCAAGCUGACUCCCAGCACAUCAGAGUGCAAUUAACUGAUAAGGUCCUGUGGCAAGUUAUGUCCGCAGUUCCCAGGAAUUCGCUCGGGUGAUAGUAUCCUAAGCCCCUGCAUUUGUAUCCAGUAGAUAGCACCCAAAGCCCUUGCACCCAUCACCUUGUGAUGGAUUUAAAGCCCCUGCACCUGGAACCAUUUGUUUUCCUGUAACCAUUUGUCUAACUUUUUUUUGCCUGUUUUACUUCUAUAAGAUUGCUAUAGCUAGGCUCCCCUUCCCCUCUCUAAACCAAAGUAUAAAAGAAAAUCUAGCCCCUUCUUCAGGGCUGAGAGAAUUUUG
RNAcentral lists this long non-coding RNA (2321 nucleotides) under Homo sapiens (human). RNAcentral's name for it is "non-protein coding lnc-PZP-3:2". The record is from RNAcentral. Lineage: Eukaryota; Metazoa; Chordata; Mammalia; Primates; Hominidae.